This 253-nucleotide ribosomal RNA is filed under the name uncultured bacterium. Its description in RNAcentral is "partial 16S ribosomal RNA". It matches the Rfam family "Bacterial small subunit ribosomal RNA", at positions 524 to 776 of the family's 1533-position model. The record is from RNAcentral.
UACGUAGGGUGCAAGCGUUAAUCGGAAUUACUGGGCGUAAAGCGUGCGCAGGCGGUCCGUUAAGACAGAUGUGAAAUCCCCGGGCUUAACCUGGGAACUGCAUUUGUGACUGGCGGGCUAGAGUAUGGCAGAGGGGGGUAGAAUUCCACGUGUAGCAGUGAAAUGCGUAGAGAUGUGGAGGAAUACCGAUGGCGAAGGCAGCCCCCUGGGCCAAUACUGACGCUCAUGCACGAAAGCGUGGGGAGCAAACAGG